GACGAACGCUGGCGGCGUGGAUUAGGCAUGCAAGUCGAACGGUAGGAUACCUUCGGGUAUCUGAGAGUGGCGAACGGGUGAGUAACACGUAGGUGAUCUACCCUCAAGAUUGGGACAACCCAGGGAAACUUGGGCUAAUACCGGAUGAAAGCAGCAGUGAUGUUGUUUGAAAGGUGGCGUAAGCUGCCGUUUGGGGAUGAGCCUGCGCUCUAUUAGUUAGUUGGCGGGGUAAAGGCCCACCAAGGCGAUGAUAGAUAGGCGGCCUUAACGGGUGGUCGCCCACACUGGGAUUGAGAUACGGGCCCAGACUCCUACGGGAGGCAGCAGUCGAGAAUAGUCUACAAUGGCCGAAAGGCUGAUAGUGCGACGCCGCGUGAACGAAGAAGCCCUUCGGGGUGUAAAGUUCUUUUUAUAUGUCGGAGCAGUGCUUCUUAUAUUUAACAGUAUGGGGAGAGAGGAUAUUAGCAAGUAUUGAAUAAAGCAACGGCUAACUCCGUGCCAGCCAGCCGUCGGUAAA
RNAcentral lists this ribosomal RNA (517 nucleotides) under uncultured bacterium. RNAcentral describes it as "bacterial SSU rRNA". It matches the Rfam family "Bacterial small subunit ribosomal RNA", at positions 28 to 524 of the family's 1533-position model. The record is from RNAcentral.